RNA transcript from Anolis sagrei ordinatus, 4172 nucleotides. It is a transcript of the gene named proline rich 16, with no coding region annotated. The record is from RefSeq and is a predicted model, not a curated record. NCBI's taxonomy places the organism in Eukaryota, Metazoa, Chordata, Lepidosauria, Squamata, Anolidae.
AUGUCCGCCAAGCCCAAGGGGACCCCCACCACCUCCUCGUCGGCCACCUCCUCGUCCGUCUCCUCUCCCGCCGAAGGGGCGCCGGCCGCCUCCAAAGCCAAGGUCAAGGAGCAGAUCAAGACCAUCGUGGACGAUUUGGAAUUAGUCCUGGGGGACCUGAAGGACGUGGCCAAGGAGCUCAAGGAGGUGGUCGACCAGAUUGAUACACUGACUUCUGAUCUUCAGUUGGAGGAUGAGAUGACGGACAGCUCAAAAACAGACACAUUGAACAGCAGCUCAAGUAGCACAACAGCGUCAAGCUUGGAAAAAAUCAAGGUGCGAGCCAACGCACAACUCAUCAAGCCCCCAGCCCACCCAUCUGCCAUUCUUACAGUUCUAAGGAAACCCAAUCCCCCACCUCCUCCUCCACGGCUGACUCCUGUGAAGUGUGAGGACUCACAGCGGCCAGUUAUUCCUCCCAACCCUGUAAAGACUAAUGGGACUUUACUACGAAAUGGAGGUUUGCCAGGUGGACCAAAUAAAAUUCCAAAUGGGGAUAUAUGUUGUAUAUCUAACAGUAACUUGGACAAAGUUCCAAUGCAACCUAUGAUGCACAGACCUGAAAAAGACAGGUGUCCUCAGACUGGAACACGGGAACGGGUACGAUUUAAUGAAAAGGUGCAGUACCAUGGCUAUUGUGCGGAUUGUGAUGUUCGAUACAAUAUCAAAAACAGGGAGGUUCACUUGCACAGUGAACCUCCUCAUGUGCCGGGAAAGCUUCCUCACCAAUGUCCUCCCUUACCACCACCACCACCUCCACUGCCUCCUUUUCCACUAGAAAAUGGAGGGAUGGGAAUAAGUCCCAGUAGUAGCUUUCCCCCUCUCAGACCUGCAACUGUGCCUCCUCCACAAACUGCACCAAAACCCCAGAAGACUAUCUUGAGAAAGUCAACCACUACAACAGUGUGAUGUUAUCCCAUUUGGAAAACUGUUUUUUUUCCCUUAUGUAUAAACAUAAAAAGGUAAUGAGCACUUUCUACUCAAGCAAUAAAAAGCCCAAAUAUAUUGCACCCUUUCUUCUAUGAAGUGGCGUAAAAAUCAUGUGUCAUUGAAAGAAGAAGUGCCGACUCUUUUACAACUCUUCUACGCUGACAGCUCCUCCAGGCUGGAAGGAAUGUCAGAAUUUGGAGGCAUGUUAACUAGUUUCCCCAUGAAAGAUUUGACACUGCAACUUCUUUCAGGCCAUAUAUCAUUUAUAACAGGAGCUUUCCUUGGAGCUUGGAAGCCCUUGAGCCAGAGCACAACCGAUGGCUGGUGAAAUCUGCAUUAAAUGACUGACCUGAUAUCCAACAGCUAUGAGCCAAGGCCUGACAAAAGCCACAGCCUUAAGUACCCUUCAUGCUGACAGAAGAAGAAGAAGGAAAAUUAUUUUAUUGCCCCAUCACAGUAACAGCCAUCUCCAAAGCUUGCCAUUAGAGGAGCUCACUACUAAAAAAGAAAUUGGAAACAGCCAGUGGAAAUCCAGCUAGUGUCCAGAAUAGAUACAUGGAGCUAAAUAAAAGUUUGAAGCACUUAAAUCACUGCAGGAAAAUCAACGUAUUUACUCCCCUUCGAAAAGGUUAUCAUUUUGGAUGAAGAGAGAAGAUCACUGUUGUCUGUUUUGUAAAUUCAAAGCCAUAGAAGAAGAGAGGAUCUAUGAUUCUAAAAAUGCUUGGAAAGAGGUUGUUUCCUGUCUUCUGCCAAAAUAAUUCAGUUGUCAUAGAUUGCAUCUUAAUGCACUUCUAAUAUUUGCACUGUUGCUUCCAUUCAGGGGAAUGAUGUAGGCCAUCAUUUGCACAGAUGGCUGCAUGAAAUAUUAGUCCACAAGAAAAUGUAUCUUGACGGGCUUCUAUAUGAAAUUGAAUAGAAUCCAUCUACAAAAGUAAAAAAUAUAUAAGGCCCUUUCUAUUCUUUCACAGUUGGAAUCUUACUCAAAAAGCAAAUUGUUGCUCCUCAAGACUGAUGCUUUUUUUUAAAAAAAAAAAAAAAGCUCCCACGGGCCAGUCCAAAUUUUAGAGUGGAUCUAAUUUGUAAUACAUUUUUGUAUCAUUGUAAGAGUAAAGAAAUUGAGUUGAAUAGCUCACAUUGUCCUAAUGAAUAUUGGAAAUGUCCUACCAGUUGUACAAAGAAGGGGAAAGCAUUUGUACUACAUAUUUGACACAUAACAUUUUUAUAGCCAGUUAUCUGUCCUUCAUGGGAAAUGUACCAGCUAAACGGGCAUUUUCAGUUUAUUUUUCUAAAUAAAUGUGGUAUUUGUAUAAUUUGCAAUCACUUUAUUUUGCUGAUUUUCAUUGUAAGCCCAUAUUCUGCCCCUUUUACUCUCCUUCACUAUGAAGGGAGGUUUCGAGACAAGACCAAAACAUUUGUUUUGCCAUGUUAAAUCAUAAUGAUUUGCAGACUGAAAGCUUUAAUAUAAGAUGUUGUUUGUAGAAUUAUAAAAUAUAUUUCUACUGAAGAAUAUGUAUGGAGACCCAGAAAGGCUGUAUUUUAAUCUUUAAUUUCAAUACAUAGGUUAUUUUUAAUAUUCCUCCAAAAGUAUUUAGUUAAUUAGUUUGCUUAAAAGUUUUUGCAGAGGAUCUUGAUUCAGAUGUUUGCAAUUUUCAUCAGUGAUAGCCACAUCAGGAAUUAUGAGCCUGCAUGUACAUAACACAGGUCACAAUCCAACACUAGGCCUCUGCAUGCUUCAAGGACUCUGUUGUGCCAGUUCAUACUGAAGCUAGUACUAAUAAACAGGCUGGAAGAAUUGUACACAUAUGCUCCAACUCUGUGCUAGGACUGAAUCUGUGGAGCAGGACAUUGUGUUACAGUGGGAAACCUUCUUCCAGUAUAUUUCAGUAGAGCAUCUAGUCAUCUGUGCUAGUCAUUGUGCAUAGUCGAUUUCCAUCCAUACCACCCUGUAGAGGCUAGGAUGGAUACAGAAAAAGAUGGGUAGAUCAGCUGUGAAAUAGCUUCAUGGGCCCAGUACCUGCAUGCUGCCUGGUUGGCUUGGCCCAAGUUGUCUAUAGUCACUGUUCUACUGCACUCUUUUUUAGAGCUUAGGGGGAAAAUGACCCUUUUUGGACUACAGAUUUUAGAAGCUACAAGCCAACCUGGCCAUUGGAGUUUGGGAGCUAUAGUCCAAAAAAUAUAACUUUCCCAACAUUGCUGUUUCUUUGCAUUCAGAAUGCUCUUGGGGCAUUCUCCAGCUCUGACCUAUGGUAAUGUGUGAUCAAAUAGCUGACCUAUUGUAAUGUAUUAUCAAAUUUGAAUCUUUGCCUUCCUGCAAGGCAAAGGUGCAAAUGCACAUCUACCCUUCCUUCCACCUGCAUAGAGAAGGGCUAGACCAGGUGCAUGGUCUGCAGAUCAUUUUCAUGAAUAGGUUCAGUACUAAUGAAUCUAUAGCUGAUGUGUUGUACGGAGUGCUCUUAUUUCUGAAUGCUUGAUAAAAGCAUAAUUCAAAACCUCUGAAUAUUGCUAUGGUCAUAUUCACAAAUGACACUUUUUUCAUCAUGUGUCACUCCACUGCAAUUUUGGAAGUGAGAAAGAGCAAUUGUGAAGUCAAAAUCAAUGUGGGGCUUUUGUUUGCUUUAUGGGCAUAUAUAAUUCAAAUUCAAGUUCUAUAAUUCAACUUUCUUAGAAGUUAAUUUGAAUACAAAGACAUUGUUCUUUGUGCAUGUAUUUUAACUUUUUAAAUACAUGUUUUUGAGCCUUUAAUGUUGGUUGUCUUCUCUUUACAACAAUGAGGGCUAGAAGCUUAAUUGGUUUUUAUGUGAAAUCUGGGAAUCUCAGGAUUCUGACAAAUCAUUAUUUGCAAAAAUACAGUAUAGAGUAGAUUUCCUUGCAGCCAUAUGACUAUGUGGUCAUCCCCCUUUUGAUCUCAGAAGAUAAAACAAUUGUCAUUGUGGCCUGAUUCCUAAAUUACACAUCAUAUCAUGUGACUCUUGGGUAGCAGGGAUGUAUUCCCAAACUGUAACACAUGGUGCUGUUAAAGAUGAUAUUGCUGGAUCCAUUGCAAUCUGGAGAGUUGAAGGAUAAUACAUUGUCUGAUAAUCUUAACCACAGUCUGCAAACAGAAAGAGUCACUGUAUCCAUUCAAUGCAGUAUUUUGUUAUUAUCAGUUCAUAGAUUCCUUCAAUGCUAGAGUUCUUUUGAAUAAAAAUAUAUAUUUUCCUUUU